Molecule: long non-coding RNA, 961 nt
Filed under: Chinchilla lanigera (long-tailed chinchilla)
Lineage: Eukaryota; Metazoa; Chordata; Mammalia; Rodentia; Chinchillidae
Description: lncRNA (ENSCLAG00000026877.1)
Source: RNAcentral
CGCCCAACUGUCAUGGGCAGCACAGGGCAGGGCUCGGCAGCUGCGGCCCCCAGGCGCUCAGAGACAAGAGGGAGCCCAGGACAGGUGUCCCUAGGCUCGGCCACCAGCCACUCUGAACCGUCGUGUCCAGGACAGGUCCAUUUAGGCCUGGCCACCACUAUUGGAAAUCAGUUGGCAGAGAACCUGGCAGAGAUCUGCACAGUGAGCACGGUGCAGGCAGGGCCGCCACACACCCCGACGGAGCCCCUGGAGCCGGCCUUCCUGGACAGCGGCCCCAGCCCUGACCCCUCCUUCCUUGACUCAAGGACCUCCACCCCACAGGCCCUGAUAGUGGGAAGCACCAGCUCUAGCCCACGCUGAAGUCCCAGCUGCAGAGCUGGUGCCAGCUUCACCUGCAGCUCCCUCACCAACUUGGGUCCUAGAGCCAGCGCCGGCACCCGGAUCUUCUUGGUCGCCAGCUGCAGAGCCGGAACUCCUGGUGGCUCCACCGCAAGGGCUCACCUCUUGAGCUCUACCUGGAGGCAGCGCUUGACCCAAACCUCCCAUUCCCUUCUCUGCCAGAUUUACUUGUCAUUGUACUUAGUGCUUUCCUUAAUUCCCAGAGAGGUGGAAACGGUAGAAUUAAUGUAAAUAAAGUGAAAGAUUUUAGUGCUGUUUAAAACGAUCAGCUUGGUGGCCUUUAUUGCCUUCUCAAUGUCGUGCAACCUUCACACUGUGCAGUCUAGAACAUUUUCCCUCAAUUCUGUACCCAAAGUAAUUUCUUUUCUCUCCCCUCCUGCUAGAUCCUGGCCACCACUCAUCUGCUGUCCCUGUCAUUCACCUCUUCUACAUUAUCCACAUCACUGCAGUUAUGUUUCUCUUCAGUCAGAGGAUGUUGGAAAUCACCGCUUAAUCUUGCUUUUUCUUAGAAGGGACAAACCUAGAGAGAUCUCAUCAAUUUCUCAUUCAUUGGUGGUGUGAG